Molecule: ribosomal RNA, 1375 nt
Filed under: uncultured bacterium
Lineage: Bacteria
Description: bacterial SSU rRNA
Rfam family: Bacterial small subunit ribosomal RNA
Source: RNAcentral
AGAGUUUGAUCCUGGCUCAGGAUGAACGCUGGCGGCGUGCUUAACACAUGCAAGUCGAACGAAGCACUUAAUAAGAUUUCUUCGGAUUGAUUAUUUUGUGACUGAGCGGCGGACGGGUGAGUAACGCGUGGGUAACCUGCCUCAUACAGGGGGAUAACAGUUAGAAAUGACUGCUAAUACCGCAUAAGACCACGGUACCGCAUGGUACAGUGGUAAAAACUCCGGUGGUAUGAGAUGGACCCGCGUCUGAUUAGGUAGUUGGUGGGGUAACGGCCUACCAAGCCGACGAUCAGUAGCCGACCUGAGAGGGUGACCGGCCACAUUGGGACUGAGACACGGCCCAGACUCCUACGGGAGGCAGCAGUGGGGAAUAUUGCACAAUGGAGGAAACUCUGAUGCAGCGACGCCGCGUGAAGGAUGAAGUAUUUCGGUAUGUAAACUUCUAUCAGCAGGGAAGAAAAUGACGGUACCUGACUAAGAAGCCCCGGCUAACUACGUGCCAGCAGCCGCGGUAAUACGUAGGGGGCAAGCGUUAUCCGGAUUUACUGGGUGUGAAGGGAGCGUAGACGGCACGGCAAGCCAGAUGUGAAAGCCCGGGGCUCAACCCCGGGACUGCAUUUGGAACUGCUGAGCUAGAGUGUCGGAGAGGCAAGUGGAAUUCCUAGUGUAGCGGUGAAAUGCGUAGAUAUUAGGAGGAACACCAGUGGCGAAGGCGAUUUGCUGGGCUGUAACUGACGCUGAGGUACGAAAGCGUGGGUAGCAAAUAGGAUUAGAUACCCUAGUAGUCCACGCUGUAAACGAUGAGCACUAAGUGUCGGGUUACCGGUGCUGAAGUUAACACAUUAAGUGCUCCGCCUGAGUAGUACGGUCGCAAGACUGAAACUCAAAGGAAUUGACGGGCACCCGCACAAGCGGUGGAGCAUGUUGUUUAAUUCGAAAAUACGCGAAGAACCUUACCUAGGCUUGACAUCCCUGGCAAAGCUAUAGAAAUAUAGUGGAGGUUAUCCAGGUGACAGGUGGUGCAUGGUUGUCGUCAGCUCGUGUCGUGAGAUGUUCAGUUAAGUCUGCUAACGAGCGCAACCCUUGUCGAUAGUUGCUAACAUUUAGUUGAGAACUCUAUCGAGACUGCCGGUAUUAAACCGGAGGAAGGUGGGGAUGACGUCAAAUCAUCAUGCCCCUUACGUCUAGGGCAACAGGCGUGCUACAAUGGCUGGUACAAUGAGUCGCAAAACCGCGAGGUGGAGCUAAUCUCCAAAGCCAGUCUCAGUUCGGAUUGAAGUCUGCAACUCGACUUCAUGAAGCUGAAAUCGCUAGUAAUCCCGGAUCAGAAUGCCGGGGUGAAUACGUUCUCGGGUGUUGUACUCACCGCCCGUCA